UCCCAGUCCCAAUCUCAGAUGCCCUGAGCUCCUUCACUCUUCCAAACCACAUUAUGGGGAAUCUGAUGAUUCUUGCCAGGUGAUGUAAUAGCUCUGGUGAUGAUCAGAUAUCAUCCCGCCUCUUAAUGACAGAGCACCAUCUUCUGAAGCCCUUUAAAGAUACAGUCUAGCUCAUGCCUCUGAAGUGAGCAGAGAUGGAUAAAGAAGCCACCUCAUAGACACAAAGGAACUUCUCAAAGUUCCAGAAUUGUUUGAGAAGAGAACCUGCCGAUCCUCUCAGCCAUGUAAUCCUUCUUGGAACACUCCCUCAUCUUCACCCACGUAGACUUGCACACCUACCCUCCAGAUGUGGUGGGAGACGCCUUUAUGUAACAUGAAUCUGUAUGAUGAAUUCUUGCUCAUAUUGAAGACAUGAAAUUCCUAUGAAUAGGACAUGUACUUUGAGUUCAUUAUCCCUAAAAGCAAGUCAUGGAUAUGCUUAAGUUAUCUGAGUGCUUUCCCUGGAAGACCAGUGGAAUGCUUCGGCGGAUGUGAAGAUCCAAUUAGAUAAUUUAUGUGAAUGUGCUUAGCAAACCACAGAACACUAAACAAAUAUAGAAAUUUUUUCGAGAAGAUAAUGAGGUUCUCUCUGGGACCUAUUGUAAUAUUUUCCAGCUUUUCUUGCCAAGAAGUUCCUUCUAUCACACCUAAAUUCCGUCGAAUUUAUUUCCAAGCUUCAGCCAGCUUGGAAAUAGCCUUUCUGUUGGGACAUUUCCAAAUCCCAGGUUUAGAGGUUCUUCCAUCUGGCAGGUGUCAAAGAAGACAACAGGAACCAUGAGCAGAACCACUUGGAACUGCAAACUCUUUGGGCCAAGGAGAGACUUCUUCUCCAGGUCUGGUUUGGUUCGCAAAUUCCUGGCUGUCAUAGCAACCUGAAAAGCAAAGGAAGACUGUUUAGUGUCGUCUUUGACUGCAGCCUGGGCUCGGAAUGCGCUCAGGUUGGCCCAGUAAACAGUGUUCACCGGUAACCACUCUGUGUCUCUCCCUCUGGGCCCAGGGAUGGGUGAGGCAGGGAGCUCACCAGGCUCAAGUCAUCUGGCCGCACAGCUUCUCACCUAGUGUCACUCAGCUCCCCUCUGCUGCUCUGUCUCCCAGUGGCUCUGCCAGAUCUAACAUGGGGAGGGAAUUUCCAGAAGAGGCCUAUUGGGAGAUGGAGUCAACUCCACAGUGGAAGCAAAUGCCUGCCGCCCACAUGAAGAUGUGUGAAGAUGACUUGGGGAGGGGGAGCCGACAGCAUUUCCAUGGUAACCUCAAGCAUCCCUGUGAAGUCAUCAUUGUGCUCUUCUGACCUAUUCAAACCCUGGCAACCAGGGCUGUUUAUCUCUAGGGAUUGAGUUCAAGAUCUAAAAAUGUGAAAGACCUAAACUGAAAUGAAUAGGCACCUCACUUGCUAAGAAGUAGGUCUACAAAGACAUGUGAUGUCAUGUUCAUUAAUCGUUACAUUGAUUGUUACAAGAUUUUUACACAUUUGACAACAAUUUACAGGCGAGUUUUUUUCUCAUUGCAAGAAUUCCUGAUUAUGCACAGUGAUUGCCGAGAAAUCAUUGUUGGGCCAAAUUUCAAAAGUAAAAUUAUAAAAAAUA
RNAcentral lists this long non-coding RNA (1622 nucleotides) under Homo sapiens (human). RNAcentral describes it as "HSALNT0365485". Lineage: Eukaryota; Metazoa; Chordata; Mammalia; Primates; Hominidae. The record is from RNAcentral.